RNAcentral lists this transfer RNA (72 nucleotides) under Camelus bactrianus (Bactrian camel). It matches the Rfam family "tRNA". Rfam says of the family: Transfer RNA (tRNA) molecules are approximately 80 nucleotides in length. Their secondary structure includes four short double-helical elements and three loops (D, anti-codon, and T loops). RNAcentral also lists the same sequence under 1 other name. The record is from Rfam by way of RNAcentral. Lineage: Eukaryota; Metazoa; Chordata; Mammalia; Artiodactyla; Camelidae.
GAGGGUAUCGCUCAGCAGUAGAGUGCAUGCUUAGUGCGCACGAGGUCCUGGGUUGAAUUCCCAGUAUCUCCG